This 404-nucleotide ribosomal RNA is filed under the name Pseudomonas sp. Its description in RNAcentral is "partial 16S ribosomal RNA". It matches the Rfam family "Bacterial small subunit ribosomal RNA", at positions 355 to 776 of the family's 1533-position model. RNAcentral also lists the same sequence under 3 other names. Lineage: Bacteria; Pseudomonadati; Pseudomonadota; Gammaproteobacteria; Pseudomonadales; Pseudomonadaceae. The record is from RNAcentral.
UGGGGAAUAUUGGACAAUGGGCGCAAGCCUGAUCCAGCCAUGCCGCGUGAGUGAUGAAGGCCCUAGGGUUGUAAAGCUCUUUCACCGGUGAAGAUAAUGACGGUAACCGGAGAAGAAGCCCCGGCUAACUUCGUGCCAGCAGCCGCGGUAAUACGAAGGGGGCUAGCGUUGUUCGGAUUUACUGGGCGUAAAGCGCACGUAGGCGGACUUUUAAGUCAGGGGUGAAAUCCCGGGGCUCAACCCCGGAACUGCCUUUGAUACUGGAAGUCUUGAGUAUGGUAGAGGUGAGUGGAAUUCCGAGUGUAGAGGUGAAAUUCGUAGAUAUUCGGAGGGACACCAGUGGCGAAGGCGGCUCACUGGACCAUUACUGACGCUGAGGUGCGAAAGCGUGGGGAGCAAACAGG